UUUUAUGGAGAGUUUGAUCCUGGCUCAGAGUGAACGCUGGCGGCGUGCCUAAUACAUGCAAGUCGAACGAUGAAGCUUCUAGCUUGCUAGAAGUGGAUUAGUGGCGCACGGGUGAGUAAGGUAUAGUUAAUCUGCCCUACACAAGAGGACAACAGUUGGAAACGACUGCUAAUACUCUAUACUCCUGCUUAACACAAGUUGAGUAGGGAAAGUUUUUCGGUGUAGGAUGAGACUAUAUAGUAUCAGCUAGUUGGUAAGGUAAUGGCUUACCAAGGCUAUGACGCUUAACUGGUCUGAGAGGAUGAUCAG
This 309-nucleotide ribosomal RNA is filed under the name Campylobacter jejuni. RNAcentral describes it as "bacterial SSU rRNA". It matches the Rfam family "Bacterial small subunit ribosomal RNA", at positions 1 to 307 of the family's 1533-position model. The record is from RNAcentral. Lineage: Bacteria; Pseudomonadati; Campylobacterota; Epsilonproteobacteria; Campylobacterales; Campylobacteraceae.